AAUAUAUGUUCUUUAGUAAUAAAAAGUCUUAUAAUCACUUUAAGUUAGAACACAGGCUCAAUUCACUAUCCAAAAUGCUCCCAUGUGAGAAGCAAAACUCUGAAAGUGAUUUAAAGUCAAAACUUCAUCACAGGCCUCUAGCAGGCCAGCAGCCUACAGAGGGAGAAAGAUGUUGGCAGCUGGCAGGUGCCUUCUCUAGCGUCUUGCCUUCUGCUGCUGCUGCUCAUCUUUGAGCAUGCUAACCAUGGUUUCUCAAAUCUCCAGGGAUUGGCCUGGAGAGGAAGCAGGUGUGGGGUUAUAUUUAUAUUGCUCACAGUGGUGGCAUGUGGGUGGAAUACAGGGAAAUCUUACAUAUUGUCUUGCCUGACAGUUGCUUUAAGUGGACUCCUUCUCAUGGUUUUGGAGACCACCCCAUCACUGAGAAUUUGUGUCUCCUAGAGUUCAGUCUAAAAGCCGAGAUCCUACAUUGUGUUCCAGGGAAGCUUAAGAAAAUUAGGUCUCUGCUUGAUUUGGAAAGCUUAGACUGAACCUAAAUGAAAAUCAGGUCAGUAAAAAGUCAGAGUUUAACAAAGAUAGAUGUUAUGUCCCAGAGACCAGACAUUUAAGCAUUACUUUCAAAGUGCACUCAGAGAGAUAUUUGUUCUUCAUUUAGUACUUAGAGACUAAGUCUUAUCCAUGCCAUCAAAAAAAUGGGAGUUGGAAAACAUGCCACACAUGUUAACAAUGCAUUGAUUUUUUUUUUUUUUUUUUGAGACAGAGUCUCGCACGUCACCAAGACUGGAGUGCAGUGACGCAAUCUUGGCUUACUGCAAGCUCUGCCUCCUGGGUUCAUGCCAUUCUCCUGCCUCAGCCUCCCGAGUAGCUGGGACUACAGGCGCCUGCCACCACACCCAGCUAAUUUUUUGUAUUUUUAGUGGAGAUGGGGUUUUGCUGUGUCAGCCAGGAUGGUCUCGAUCGCCUGACCUUGUGAUCCACCCACCUCGGCCUCCCAAAGUGCUCGGAUUACAGGCGUGAGCCACCGCGCCUGGCCAACAAUGCAUUUUAACUUAAACCAUGUAAAUGAAUUCAGAUGAAGAACCAGAAAAUUACUGGAGCUACUGCAUCACCACACUAGUAAUGUGUUGUCUCUAAUUUCCAUUAAUUCUCUAAAGUGGAGUGGCAUUUAAAGACACCUGGAAACCAAUCUGAUCCCUUAAAUGUUUAAUAAUUGUCCCACUCUUAAAUAUGUUUUGUCCACAUCUAACUGAACAGUGAUCAUUUUUAGUGGCUCACCUCUAGUGUACCAACAUAUAGCUGACUAGUUCCUCAAACUAAAUAUCUUUAGCAUGAAAAUGAAGUUUUAUUUUAUGCGAUUUUAUCUAAUUUCUCACCAGAGGGUAAAUGCAGAUGUAAGCUGGCACGAGAGGAGGGUGAUGCAGGCCAAGAUGGAUUGAGUCCUGGGAGUUGCCUGAGAUGGGACAUAGGUUCCCAGAAAUACUGUGAUAUCAAUACUGUUCUCAGUGGACCACAAUCUGGCAUGGACCUGGGUGGUAUGCGAGGCCACUCCUCCUGUGUACCUAUUUUGGCUGCUCCGAGUAGAUGUACAGUGUGGAGUGCAGCCCCUGGGUUGUGCUGGCCCAGAGAUUCAGCCAGCCAAGAUCCUUAUGCUUGCUCACAGCCCUCAGUGGUCUGGGCUACUCUUUAGUAGCUUGAGUAGCCCUUGAGAGUCAUUCUUGGAACUGUGCACCUGAAAUCAAUCUUACUCCAUGACAAAUCCUGGGAUAUGAACUAGAAGUUGGCAGUUUAAUAAUGACAGAUCCCACCCUUACAUAGAAUGCAGUGACCAUGUUUGUUUUUUUUUUUCUCGUGGAGUAGUAAUGGGGAAGAGGUGGUGUCCAUUUCCAUAAAGGAGGCAGGAUGUUGCAGGAAGUCCUCAUGAAAGGAUCUUAUGGAGGGCUCUGCCGGACUCUCAAUAUGGGACAACCCUUCUCUUUUGGCCUCCUGGGUCCCCAGCAAGUCUGAGUCUUUCACUAGACUAGGUUGGGAAGAAUGAGCUGGGCCAUUGUGAAGGGAAACUCCAGGAAGCUGGGUCUUCACUGAGGCUACAAAGCAAAUGCCAUCUAAGGGGCAGAUGGACCAAGGUCAGGGCAUAGAAGCAAUGUCAAGCUUUAGGUCCAAGAGUGAUGACCAGAGUCGUGUAAGAGAUGGGACAGCAGGCCAAUCAGGAUUUGAGGAGAUAGGGAUAAGUUGGGAAGUUGUGUAGGGACAGAAGGAGGAAGAAAGUUUCAAAUCUUGGGCUCCAAUUAGAUAAGGCUGGGCCCAAUUCUUUUGGGUGUGAAAAAUGUGGGAGAGGGAGUGGCAGCUGUUUAAAGGCACGGAGCUACACAGGUUUAACAGCAAUACACUUGACCCUUGAACAACAUGGGUUUGAACUGCAUGGGUCCACUUCUAUGUAGAUUUUCUUCUGCCUCCACCCCCGCCCCCCACCCCCCAGACAGCAAGAUCAACCUCUCUUCCUCAGCCUACUCACCAUAAAGAUGAGGAGGAUGAAGACCUUUAUGAUGAUCCACUUCUGCUUAAUGAAUAGUAAAUAUAAUUUCUCUUCCUUGAUUUUCUUAUUUUUUUCUUUUCUCUAGCUUACUUUAAGAACACAAUAUUCAUAAAAAAUAUGUGCU
Molecule: long non-coding RNA, 2654 nt
Filed under: Homo sapiens (human)
Lineage: Eukaryota; Metazoa; Chordata; Mammalia; Primates; Hominidae
Description: non-protein coding lnc-TCP1-4:1
Source: RNAcentral